CGCAAGCCUGAUGGAGCAACACCGCGUGAGUGAAGAAGGGUUUCGGCUCGUAAAGCUCUGUUGUUAAAGAAGAACACGUAUGAGGGUAACUGUUCAUACGUUGACGGUAUUUAACCAGAAAGUCACGGCUAACUACGUGCCAGCAGCCGCGGUAAUACGUAGGUGGCAAGCGUUAUCCGGAUUUAUUGGGCGUAAAGAGAGUGCAGGCGGUUUUCUAAGUCUGAUGUGAAAGCCUUCGGCUUAACCGGAGAAGUGCAUCGGAAACUGGAUAACUUGAGCGCAGAAGAGGGUAGUGGAACUCCAUGUGUAGCGGUGGAAUGCGUAGAUAUAUGGAAGAACACCAGUGGCGAAGGCGGCUACCUGGUCUGCAACUGACGCUGAGACUCGAAAGCAUGGGUAGCGAACAGGAUUAGAUACCCUGGUAG
RNAcentral lists this ribosomal RNA (425 nucleotides) under uncultured bacterium. RNAcentral's name for it is "bacterial SSU rRNA". It matches the Rfam family "Bacterial small subunit ribosomal RNA", at positions 376 to 793 of the family's 1533-position model. The record is from RNAcentral.